Myotis daubentonii (Daubenton's bat) is the source of this 2963-nucleotide long non-coding RNA. RefSeq lists it as uncharacterized. NCBI's taxonomy places the organism in Eukaryota, Metazoa, Chordata, Mammalia, Chiroptera, Vespertilionidae. The record is from RefSeq and is a predicted model, not a curated record.
UCCUUUCUAAUUGGUGUUUCUGGUUUCUUGGGAUAUAUUCCUAGAAGUGGGAUCACUGGGUCAAAUGGGAGUUCCAUUUUUAACUUUUUGAGAAAACUCCAUACUGUCUUCCAUAGUGGCUGCACCAGUUUGCAUUCCCACCAGCAGUGCACGAGUGUUCCCUUUUCUCCACAUCCUCUCCAGCACUUGUCGUUUGUUGAUUUGUUGAUGAUAGCCAUUCUGACAGGUGUGAGAUGAUACCUCAUUGUUGUUUUGAUUUGCAUCUCUCGGAUGAUUAGUGACUUUGAGCAUGUUUUCAUAUGUCUCUUGACUUUCUGAAUGUCCUCUUUUGAAAAGUGUCUGUUUUGGUCCUUUGCCCAUUUUUUGAUUGGAUUGUUUAUCUUUUUCCAGGAUGUUUUUAAUUUCUUCUUUGAUCUCAUUGGUAACCCAAUCAAUAUUUAAUAACAUGCUAUUCAGCUUCCAAGUGGUUGAGUGUUUUGGAUUGUUUUUAUUGUAGUUUAUUUCUAAUAUUAUGCCAUUGUGAUCUGAGAAGAUGCUUGGUAUGAUUUCAGUCUUCUUGAAUUUGGGGAGACUUUGCUUGUGACCCAAUGUGUGGUCUAUUUUUGAAAAUGUCCCAUGUGCACUUGAGAAGAACGUAUAUUCUGCGGCUUUGGGGUGAAAUGUUCUGAAGAUGUCAGUUAAGUCCAUCUGAUCUAGUGAGUCAUUUAGGAUUGAUGUUUCUUUGCUGACUUUUUGUCUAGAGGAUUUAUCCAGUGAUGUCAGUGGUGUAUUAAAGUCCCCUAUUAUGAUUGUAUUGUUGUCGAUCUCUCCCUUGAUACCUUCCAGGAGGUUUUUUAUGUAUUUGGGUGCUCCUACAUUGGAUGCAUAUGUUUAUCAGGGUUAUAUCCUCUUGUUGUAUCGAUCCCUUUAGUACUAUGAAGUGGCCUUCCUUAUCUCUUGUUAUGGCCUUCACUUUGAGGUCUAUUUUGUCCGAUAUAAGUAUUGCUACCUUUAUCACUUUUCUUUCGUCUUUCGAAGGACACUUUUGUUGUUUCCAUGUCUUGGUUACCAUGUAUAAUGCUGCAGUGAACAUAGGGGUGCAUAUAUCUUUGCCAAUAAAUGUUUUCAAGAUUUUUCAGGUAGAUAUUCAGAAGAAGGGUUGCUGGGUCAUAUGUGGUCUCUGUUCUUAAUUUUUUGAGGAACUUUCUUACUGUUUUCCAUGGUGGUUUUACCAGUUUACAUUCCCAUCAUCAGUGAAUGAGGGUUCCUUUUUCUCCACACCUUUCCAACACUUGGUAUUACUUGUCUUGUUGAUAAUAGCCAUUCUAACAGUGUGAUGUGUCACCUCAUUGUAGUUUUGAUUUUCAUUUCCCUAACAGCUAAUGAAGUUAAGCAUGUUUUCAUAAAUGUUUUGGCCACUUGUAUGUCUUCUUUAACGAAGUGUCUGUUCCGGUCCUCUGCCCAUUUUUUAAAUGGAUUGUUUUUUGUGUAUUGUUGAGCUGUAUGAAUUCUUUAUAUAUUUUGGAUAUUAGCACCUUGUUGGAGCUGUUGUUUCCAAAUAUCUUCUUCCAUUUGGUUGGUUGCCUUUUUGUUUUGUUGGCUAUUUCUCUUGCUGUGCAGAAGCUUUUUAGUUUUUUUUCUUCAUAUUUUAUUGAUUUUUUACAGAGAGAAAGGGAGAGGGAUAGAGAAUUAGAAACAUCGAUGGGAGAGAAACAUUGAUCAGCUGUCUCCUGCACACCUCCUACUGGGGAUGUGCCCACAACCAAGGUACAUGCCCUUGACCGGAAUCGAACCUGGGACCUUUCAGUCCGCAGGCCGACGCUCUAUCCACUGAGCCAAACCAGUUAGGGCGCUUUUUAGUUUUAUAUGGUCCCAUUCAUUUAUUUUUGUCUUUACUUCUCUUGCCUUUUGGGUCAAAUUUAUAAAAUUUCCUCUAAGACUAAGAUCAUAAGUUUAAUACCUAUCUUUUCUUCUAUGUAGUUCAUUGUUUUGGGUCUUAUAUUUAGGUUUUUGAUCCAUUUUGAGUUAAUGUUUGUGUAUGGGACAAACUGUAGUCUAGUUUCAUUCUUUUGUGUGUGGCUCUCCAGUUUUCUUAGCACAAUUUGUUGAAGAAGCAUUUUCCCUCCAUUUUAUGCUUGUGGCUCCUUUAAACUACAAAACAUUAUUUUAAAAGGUUGAAAAAACACACAAUGAAAUAGAUAUUUUUGUUUAUGGAUUGGAAGAAUCAACAAUAUGUCCUAAAGCAAUACACAGAUUCAAUGCAAGCCCUAUCAAAAUGCCAAUGAAGUUUCUUAAUGAAAUAGAAUAAAAAAUUAUCAGAUUUGUAUGGAACUACAAAAGACCUCAAAUAGCCAAAACAAUCCUGCGAAGAAAGAAUGAAGCCCUAGGUAUCACAUUCCCUAACUUCAAGUUUUACUACAAAGUGAUAAUAAUCAAAACAAUGUGGUAUUGGUAGAAAAACAGACACAAGGACCUAUGGAACAGAAUUAAGAGUCCAGAAAUAAACCUACAUGUAUUUGGGUAAAUAUAACAACGGACUUUUUAAAAGCAAUUUUUUUAGGGUAAAAGUUUUUAAAAUAAUACUUCUAGUUAGAGUAUUUUUUGGAAGUUGUAUUGGUGUUAUCAGAAUCUUCAAAUACCAUGUUUAACUGACAAUGAUCAUAAAGGGUGCAUACAAUGAUUUUACAGCUCCUAAUUACACAGCUAUUUGUUUUCUCCUAAGACCCAUUUUUCUCUAACAUAAAUAACGUAUUUUAUGUUGUGGUUGGUAUGCAGAAUUGUUGGAUCAAUACAAAUUGUUUCCAGAUGUUUGUCACCCCCUAGAACAUUCUUCACAUUAAAUUUUUUUUUGGUUUGAGAUUUGGAUUUUUUAUUUUGUUUAUAUUUUUAUGUCAAGUAACCAAGUCCUUUGAUAAUGUAUUUUAUAUGAGAGGUUGUUAUCAAUUAAUAUCAUUAAAAACUCUUUGCCAAAAAAAAAAAAAUAA